Molecule: transfer RNA, 63 nt
Filed under: Nemertopsis sp. WYS-2013
Lineage: Eukaryota; Metazoa; Nemertea; Enopla; Monostilifera; Emplectonematidae
Description: tRNA-Leu
Source: RNAcentral
UAUGUGUUGGCAGAUAAUUGUGAUAGCUUUAGGAGCUAUUUAUGUGAAUUUUCACACACAUAU